UCCACGCGGACAUUUUGCCAUUGUAUUGCAUAAAGCAGCGGCAGGGGAUGAACAGAGGGAUCACACAUAUUGGGACUCGAGGCCAGCAGAAGCCCCAGCAUGCUCGACGUCCUGAAAAGACAUCGGCAAGCAAGUUACGAUCGUCCAAAAGUCGCCCAGGGGAAGUUGAUGCCAAAAGAGUCCAGUGAGCCUUAGAUGCCGCUUCCUCAUCGCCGAAGCUUGAAACGCACAGUUGUCACCGGUAUCGAAACGACAGUGAGCAGGGAGAACAGGAGUUUCAAAGCUUCCCAAUUCAGAUGGAAACCUGCCGAACGGAGCUCUCUGUUUGGACAGCACAUGUUGAAAUCGACUGUCAAAAAGAAGUUGAUCUGAGCUGGAGCUGCAGAUAUGCUGCGGACACUUUAAAGUGCCUUACGAAACCUUUUUAAAUAAGGGCAGUUUCUGUGGAAGAGCAAGGGAUUCUGAGUAGCAGUCAUCUCGCAGCGUUGUGUCCGAUAGUCACCCUGACCGUCUGAUUUUGCACUUUUUAUAACUUAUAUUAUUAGCUUUUUGUUUUAAGAACAUGAUUUACUUUAACUGAAUGUCUUAUUGUUUAGUGUUCAAAAUAUAUCAGCCCGAGUGAUCGUGGCAGCAACACUACAGAAUAAUAUUAAAAACACUUUAAGUGCACGUAUCACAGUUGGUCAUGUUUGCGUUCCCCUUUCUACGAAGGGGUUUGUAAAGCUGAGUUCUUCAACAGGAGAAAUUGAGCACUUUCUUACUCGUGGAACUUUGUGCUGUAUACAUGUAUAAUAGACUAAUUUAUGAUUGGGAUUCUUUUAUUUAUGUUGUAGUUUAAGUAGAUAACACAAGUUAUUAUGUGGUUGAUUUUUUUCCAGUAUUAAUACCUGGUGACUUUUAAAAAAGAGUUUGUACUUUAUCUGUGAGUUAUGUACGUUGUCUGUUGAAAUGAUCUCUUUAGUGCGAUCUGUGAUUAAGAACCAAAGACAUUCCAGCGAUCGGAGAGAUUCUGCCUUUCUCUGCCAAAUAUCUUUCUAUGUACUCUAUGUCGUGUACAGACGAUGCUUAAACAGUGAGGGAAACAGAUACUGUGAAAUGUCUAGGUCAUCAACAGAAAAGAUGAAGUAAGAGAUUCCUUUUAUCACAAAACAUGCUUCGGUUCAUCUCGGUAAGAAACACUAUUUAUAUAUGUUUUAGUCAUGGGUCCUAAGAUACCCACUGUUCAUGUAUCAUUCCAAUGGUGCCAGUAAUCAUCACAUUUCCAUGCCUGUUAAGAUGCAGAUUCUUCAGGGUCGUGAGGUUUUUAGUAUUUUGUUCAAAUUGACUGACUGCUUUGUUUCCGUUCAGUCGAUCAUGUAAGAGUAGUUGCUGCUUUAAGUCGACUCUACUAGUGUUACCUUUUAAUAAGGGAAGGUGGACUGGGUGUGUCAGUAGUAGGAUUUUGUAGAAGAGUUGUCUUCCAUACAAAUUGUUUAAUUGUCAAAUCUCUAAAUAAUAAAGUUUAUUUUCUGUC
Molecule: long non-coding RNA, 1513 nt
Organism: Notothenia coriiceps (black rockcod)
Lineage: Eukaryota; Metazoa; Chordata; Actinopteri; Perciformes; Nototheniidae
Exons: 3
Source: RefSeq, a predicted model, not a curated record